GUCUCAGUUUCUUUCUCUCCAGUAACUGACAAGCAUAAAUCCUGGCACAAGUCCUGGAGCCGCUCCUGCACGAUCCGCUGUUAGCACACAUGCACGCUGCUCAUCAGUGCUGAUCUCAGGCUGACACACGGGCUCACCGCAGGGCACCGCUUCAUCAGACACACCGCAUCUGAUCCACUCCUCCACAGGGGACAAUAAAGUCACCGUGGACGCUGGCGAACAGCUGACCACUGCAGCACAGUGAUGGGCCACUUAAUGAAGUGAAGUCUAUUGGAUGUGUGUGUGGUGCAUGUAGGAGCCUGUGAGCGCUGAUGCCUUUAGAUGCCCAAGCAGCCGAGCCUAUAAAACCAGGGAUAUGCAAAACAAGGGGGGAAAAAUGAAUAUGCGAACAAAGGCGGAGCUCCUAUCCCCUGGGGUGUGAGGACGAGGACGGGUGCGGAGAGAACUGAAAUCACCUCAUCCAGCGAGCUACAUCAUUUGCAUGAGGAAGAGAUGGACCGUUUGCUCGGUUACGCUCUCCAUGUGUUGCCUGAAUGGAGCAACAUGUAACGCCACAUUAAU
Sinocyclocheilus anshuiensis is the source of this 561-nucleotide long non-coding RNA. RefSeq lists it as uncharacterized. Lineage: Eukaryota; Metazoa; Chordata; Actinopteri; Cypriniformes; Cyprinidae. The record is from RefSeq and is a predicted model, not a curated record. The transcript has 3 exons.